This 378-nucleotide unclassified non-coding RNA is filed under the name soil metagenome. RNAcentral describes it as "partial contains 5.8S ribosomal RNA, internal transcribed spacer 2, and large subunit ribosomal RNA". The stretch from base 1 to 117 matches the Rfam family "5.8S ribosomal RNA", at positions 35 to 154 of the family's 154-position model. The record is from RNAcentral.
GAUGAAGAACGCAGCGAAGUGCGAUUAGUGUGAAUUGUAGAAUUCCGUGGAUCAUCGAAUUUUUGAACGCAAAUUGCACUCUCUGGUAUUCCGGAGAGUAUGCCUGUUUGAGAGUCAUUAAAUAAAAAAUCGAUUUUGUUACCUUGUCGUAACAUUUCGGAAUUGAGUAAUCUUAAAUCUUCAGGUUUAAGAGGUUUAAAAUUGAUCAUUUUUGGUAUGAUUUAAGCGUAUUUAAGAUCUCUUAUCACGCGCUUGAUGAGUAUCGGAUGUUUAUUAGGCAUGACCAUGAUCAUGGUUUCGCGCCUAUAAUCUUUCAUGAAAUGACCUCAAAUCAGGUAGGAUUACCCGCUGAACUUAAGCAUAUCAUUAAGCGGAGGA